Molecule: ribosomal RNA, 806 nt
Filed under: uncultured bacterium
Lineage: Bacteria
Description: bacterial SSU rRNA
Rfam family: Bacterial small subunit ribosomal RNA
Source: RNAcentral
AGAGUUUGAUCAUGGCUCAGGAUGAACGCUGGCGGCGUGCCUAAUACAUGCAAGUCGAGCGAACGGAUAAGGAGCUUGCUCCUUUGAAGUUAGCGGCGGACGGGUGAGUAACACGUGGGUAACCUACCUAUAAGACUGGAAUAACUUCGGGAAACCGGAGCUAAUGCCGGAUAACAUUUGGAACCGCAUGGUUCUAAAGUAAAAGAUGGUUUUGCUAUCACUUAUAGAUGGACCCGCGCCGUAUUAGCUAGUUGGUAAGGUAACGGCUUACCAAGGCAACGAUACGUAGCCGACCUGAGGGGGUGAUCGGCCACACUGGAACUGAGACACGGUCCAGACUCCUACGGGAGGCAGCAGUAGGGAAUCUUCCGCAAUGGACGAAAGUCUGACGGAGCAACGCCGCGUGAGUGAUGAAGGUUUUCGGAUCGUAAAACUCUGUUAUUAGGGGAGAACAAAUGUGUAAGUAACUGUGCACAUCUUGACGGUACCUAAUCAGAAAGCCACGGCUAACUACGUGCCAGCAGCCGCGGUAAUACGUAGGUGGCAAGCGUUAUCCGGAAUUAUUGGGCGUAAAGCGCGCGUAGGCGGUUUCUUAAGUCUGAUGUGAAAGCCCACGGCUCAACCGUGGAGGGUCAUUGGAAACUGGGAAACUUGAGUACAGAAGAGGAAAGUGGAAUUCCAUGUGUAGCGGUGAAAUGCGCAGAGAUAUGGAGGAACACCAGUGGCGAAGGCGACUUUCUGGUCUGUAACUGACGCUGAUGUGCGAAAGCGUGGGGAUCAAACAGGAUUAGAUACCCUGGUAGUCC